UAGAAUGUAGCCAGGCAAGGCCUACCAGUACGGGGGUGUGGUUGGCUAAUUAGUCCAAGACUUUUUAAGCAGGCACUGGGCAAGAGGCCUUGAAAUGUGGGCCUUGUUUUGAAAGCACAUGGGAUGGUGCUGCUUUGUUUGGCUAUGUGGUGAAUUUGCCCCAGAUGAGAUGCAGAUGAAUUGAGUAAUGCUAACUGGGUGUUUUUGACACUCUGAUCUGGAUAAAUGUUCAAAAAACCAACUGAUUGUUAU
Molecule: non-coding RNA, 252 nt
Organism: Paramisgurnus dabryanus
Lineage: Eukaryota; Metazoa; Chordata; Actinopteri; Cypriniformes; Cobitidae
Source: RefSeq, a predicted model, not a curated record